RNAcentral lists this ribosomal RNA (253 nucleotides) under uncultured bacterium. RNAcentral's name for it is "partial 16S ribosomal RNA". It matches the Rfam family "Bacterial small subunit ribosomal RNA", at positions 524 to 776 of the family's 1533-position model. The record is from RNAcentral.
UACGGGGGGGGCAAGCGUUGUUCGGAAUUACUGGGCGUAAAGGGCUCGUAGGCGGCCAACUAAGUCGGAUGUGAAAUCCCCAGGCUCAACCUGGGAACUGCAUCCGAUACUGGAUGGCCUGAAUUCGGGAGAGGGAUGCGGAAUUCCAGGUGUAGCGGUGAAAUGCGUAGAUAUCUGGAGGAACACCGGUGGCGAAGGCGGCAUCCUGGACCGAUACUGACGCUGAGGAGCGAAAGCCAGGGGAGCAAACGGG